ACGGUGAAGAGCGCACAUGCUCCGCAGUCGCGGGCGGCCUAGCGGCGCCGCGCACACAGAUGGCAGUGGUGCUCCGGUCUUCUGCAAGCUGUGUCACUGGCCACCCGUCGCCUCCUGCCUCUGUGUCCCCGUAGUGAGGCGAGAGCCCAGCACCUACCUCCAGACUGUUGCUGGCGGGGCUGGUUUGCGGAGCCCAGCGCCCCUGCAUCCUCCACACCCUCAGGUCCCCAGCACCUGGACCGUCGAUGCCAGGCAGAGCUCCGCAGAGGGUCACCUUCUGGACUCCUGUUCGCAUGUGAAUGGCAGGGCCAGCCCACUUGGUCGGGAACGUUCUUCACAUGUCUGUGCUGAUGCUCCUUAGCGUUCUCUAUUGCGUGUGUCAUUUCACCCUGGCUGGAGGCCUGUCAGCAGCUGCUGCCGCGAUCGUGUGUGCUUCAGGAACCUCAAGCUCAAAAUGCUUGCAACCGAACUGAGAAAUUCUUUAAAAUGUGAUUAUUUCCUUGUCUUUUCUGUUUAGGAAAUGGCACUGUUAUUUCAUCCUGCAAGUCACCUUUGGCUCUUGGUCAAUUAUUUUCAUUCCGGCUCUGAACAAAUGGGACUUUCUUAGAAAUGCUGUUUCUUAGGACUGUGUCUAAAUUAGCUGCCUCGCUAACAUUUUUCCUCCUUAGUUUGUUUUAUUUGUAGCAUGUUUUCCAACUGGAAAAUUAUUAACUUAUUUGUUUGUUUGAGUCUGUGAAAUCAAAAACUUUGUCUUGUUAACCUUAUGUAUCAGCAUCAUAAUAAGCCGUUGUGUGUAGGAAACGCACAAGUCCUUGAGUGAAGAAGUGGACUGAUAAGCUACUACUGUCUGUUCAGUAAGCACUCCAGAGAGCCAACGGGUAUCAAGGACUUGCAGAGAAUGUUGGUUUCUAUCCUGCUUGUAAAACAAUAUCCAUUAAAAAACUAAUAUCUAUUGCUCAUAAACAGUGGAUAUAUGUUUAAAAAUGCACUUACUAUUUCAAUCCCUACUUUUUCAUUCUUUGACACAUAGGGAUAUGACAUUCAGUUAUCCUUGGGUGUUCUCUAUAGAAGUCCAUAGCAUGCUUGGAAAUAUUGAUAAAAACAGCAGCACAGUGUCUGAUACAUAGUAACCACUUCCAUAAAUAGCUGUUGCAUUGAACCACACCUUGGAAAAUUUGUUCUCACACUAGUCUGUCAUUUGAUGAUGCAGGGAUACCUAAUUUCUAGAUCAGAAAAAUAAGGUCUCCAAUAUUAUUUUAGCAUUUUGUAAUCAUUGUUUGUAAACUUGAUAUUCAAACUUUAUGGGGUUUUUUCCUCAAUUUUUUGCAAGAUGGUGAUGUACGUGUGAGUUAUGGAGCCCUUGGCACUGCUCCCUAGAAAGGUGGGUCAUACCUAAAGCCCUGGGGUGCUCGGUAGGCAUUUGCAAUAUAUGUUCUGAAGGAAAACAUACAAGUGCCUUCAAUAGCUUACCAACAUAUAUACUGCUUUAACACAUAAACAUUCUUUAUUGUGGCUUUUGAAAGAAUUACAAAAUGUUUCAUUUUAUGAUAUGUUUUUAGUGAAAUACUUACCAACUCUUUUAUGAGUCUAAAUGAAGGGUUGUGAAUUUUGGACAAUGAGCUUUCAUAAAUAUUCACUGAAAAACCAUUAACACUUUAUUCCUUGUACAGAAAAUUUAAUUAAUUAAAAGUUAAAACAAACUUUUUCAGUGCAUUCUAGUUAGAUAUAAAGGAGUUGAUUCUGUUACAUUUAUUGAUUAUAUUUUAUAAAAUAACAUGAGCUUGUGAGUUUGCAGUCAUUGUGUGUGUUGAUAGCAUAAAACACUGCAAAAAGGGUGUGCUAAUUCCAUUAGAAAUUUUACAUAAAACCUCAGAUCAAAGAUAUUUUAGUAACAACUUCAAAGAUAUUUCACAAAAGAAUUAUUUCACCAAGAAAUUCUACUACAAGGAUGAACUGUAUUUUAAUGAUCAAGGGAAGUUAGUUUUAAUGAAGUUCACUGAAGGAAGCCCUUCAAGUUCUCCAAUAUGAUCAUAUACUCUGAUGAUCCAACCCCAGUAGACAUGUACAGACGUACAUGGGGUUUUGCUAAAAAAGGCUGAAGAUAGUUCUUGAUUUUCCACAAGCUGUCUAAUGUACAGCUAGAGAUUAACUUAAAACUAAAAGGAGAACACUAAUUGGGUUAAAUUGGUAACAAGUGAUAUAUAUGUCAUGUUUUUCAAAUGCAUACAAUAAUUUAAGACUUCUUAUAUAUAACAUUUUGAAGAAUAUUUAGGUUUUGAUAACUUUAUUUUCACAAGAAGAAAUAAAGACAUUUGUGAGAUAAAUGCUGUUUUCCUUACACAAGUACAUUUAGAUAAAAUCCAGACUUACAUGGAACAAAUUCUGAAUUUCAUUAACCUUCAUCAACAAAUAUAAAUGUAAAUUAUAUAUUGUGAGAAUUAGAUAUAAGGAAAUUUGUCUUGGUUUCUGUGAUUAGCUCAAAGUAAUGUUAAACCUGUAACCUCCGAUUCCCGACUUUCAAUCCUAAUAUCUAGGUCACCCUUCUUCCCAAUUCUGUGAAAUAUAGUCUUCCUCAAAAGAAUAAUAAUGUAUAAUUAAAUGGUAUAUUAUGCAUCAUAUAUUACAAAUUGUGAUGCUCAGAUUCUGCAUUAAGACUUUCUGCUGUGACUUGAGGGUCCCCGUUUGGCCAUGUGAGGGAUGAAGACAGUGACAGAAUCCCAAGCGAGGUACUGAAUUGAUGUAUGUGCCAUCUUGAAAACCAAAAAAGAAAAGAUCAGCUUGCUGGAGGUAUUUAAUCAAUCUUGCUGUGCAUAUUAAAUGUGCAUUCAAAGAAAAAUGUGUUUUAAUUACAGCUUAAAUGCCUUCUGAAUGCUAAUAUGACAAGGAUUGAAGCACUUUGUUUUGCUUAGCUCGAUAUUUCACAGUUAGCACAUUGCUUGCAAUGGGAUAUUUAAAAAGUUAUUUCAGCUGGAAAGUUUUGUAGUUUCAAGAAAGAAGAGGCAAAAUAAGAAAGACAAUUGGUUUCUUUAUUUAACAAAUAGUCCUAAAGAAACUGUAACCUCAGAAAUCUCCCUAUUCUAGCAAAUUUGCUUGGUCAGCUCCAUGCUGGGCUUUCAUGGUACAACUCCUCAGCAUGAUGAAUGCUACCUCCACCCACUUACACAUGCUUUUCUGAGGGUUUUCUUUCUGGUUGUCUGCUUACAAAAUCAUCUUCAUCAAUCCAACUGUAGAUAUCUUAAGGGCAGGGAGAUUGUUUUUCCUCCCCACUAGUGUUUGGAAUAGUAUAUUGCAUGGUCAGAGUGGUCAGUAAUGAUGAUGACUAGACAACUGAUGCUCUAUCCUGUUCCCAGAUGCAGGUCCAGAUAUAUCUAUGUUGUCGGGGUUGGGUAAGGAGGGUAGGAUAAAAUGAGGUAAAACACAAUUAUCUUCACCCCCAGAUUAAAUGGGGAUGAGGGCAUGUGGUCCCAGUGCUGGUAGGGAAUGAGAUAGUGAGAGGAGUAAGGCAAAAGCCUCAAAAUAUUGAUAAGCUUUCGCCAAUCAUUUGAAAUCAGUUUGGAUUCAUGAAAGAAUACUAACUUGUACUUUUGGGUUCAAUGUCAUAGUUGCGUACAUAGAAGACUGCCAUAUUUUGAGGCAAUUCUAUCUUUGGCAAAUCAGGAUUUUCCCUAGCAGGCAAGCAAAACUUUUGCAAAGAUUUAGUAUAUAAUCACUUAAAAUUCCAUAUCUCCUUGCAUGUUUUUGUGAUUGAGUGUAUGUGUUUGAAUCCAUAUAGAAAUAAUACUUUAGAAAUGUACCGAUGAUUGCUAUAACAUUAAUUGUUUAUGUCUUUCUAUAGUUAACUAUUCAUGAAUUGCCUUUACUGAUCUUGAUUACAUUUAAACUAUCACAUAAUGUUAGAAUAUAUUUACAGUAUGAAUGAGUUUUCUAUCAUUUCUGGCCACAGCUUGGGAAAAUUCUGCCAAAGUGAUUUUUUUUUCUGUUUUUCUGUGGUAGAACUUACCAAAAUAUAUUGCCCUCCCUGGCCUGAGGUUCAAAACCCAUUUGGAGCUUUGGAUCAUCUGAUAAAAGUUAAUAUUGUACUUCAUCUGAAAGUUCAGCAGUGGUUUUUUUUUGUUUUUUUACAUAAGGAAAAAAAUAUCAGGGAAGUGAAAUAACCCCAUAGUUGAACAUUACACUCUCAAUUAGGCAAUAACUAGUGAAAGGUAGAAUAAAUACCACUGGUGAAACUAUUCUUUUUUUUUUUUUUUAGGGGCAGGUCUUGGAUUGUAAAAUUUUAUUUCUAAUGAAUAAUGUAUAAUGUAUAAUUUACUGCUUUCACCGUGUUAGAUGAUUUGGGCUCUGAUAUGCUAUCAAAAUGCUAUUAAAAUGCAUCCUGUAUCUCCACCCCCAAAGCUUAUAGCACCUCUGGUUUUAAUUCUUACUAAGAAUUGUUUUGCGUAAGUUUAGUUGGAGGAUACGCGGGAAAAAGUGACUGCAUGUGUGAAAUUUUAUGUCAGAAAAUAUGGAUAUUACAUUCCCAAAAUAGCAAUGCCUACAUUCAUGGGUAGAGAUAAAUCAAGAUUGAUGUAAUGGAAGAUACUGUAUAAUAAAAUAGCUGAUUCAUGU
RNAcentral lists this long non-coding RNA (4605 nucleotides) under Microcebus murinus (gray mouse lemur). RNAcentral's name for it is "lncRNA (ENSMICG00000048617.1)". The record is from RNAcentral. Lineage: Eukaryota; Metazoa; Chordata; Mammalia; Primates; Cheirogaleidae.